CAAGGAAUUUUCCCCAAUGGGCGCAAGCCUGAGGGAGCAACGCCGCGUGGAGGACGACGGCCUUCGGGUUGUAAACUCCUUUCGGGUGGGACGAUGCUGACGGUACCACCAGAAGCAGCCCCGGCUAACUCUGUGCCAGCAGCCGCGGUAAGACAGAGGGGGCAAGCGUUGUCCGGAGUUACUGGGCGUAAAGGGCGCGGAGGCGGUCUGCUGCGUCGGCGCUGAAAGCGCCCCGCUUAACGGG
Molecule: ribosomal RNA, 244 nt
Filed under: uncultured Chloroflexus sp.
Lineage: Bacteria; Bacillati; Chloroflexota; Chloroflexia; Chloroflexales; Chloroflexaceae
Description: partial 16S ribosomal RNA
Rfam family: Bacterial small subunit ribosomal RNA
Source: RNAcentral